RNAcentral lists this long non-coding RNA (6235 nucleotides) under Homo sapiens (human). RNAcentral describes it as "HSALNT0367032". The record is from RNAcentral. Lineage: Eukaryota; Metazoa; Chordata; Mammalia; Primates; Hominidae.
AGGAGGCUCUGGCUGGAUUCCAGUUGUUACAGAGCUCGCUGGAGACUUCCUUCUCCCUGUGGCAUUUUCCCCGCUCCUCUGGCCGCCGAAGGAGUCCUGUGGUGCCGGGCAGGAAUGGGCUGCUUGGGGACCCAACGAGCUCCCAGAGCCUUUCCUGCUGCUUCCUCUACCCCUGUGUUUCGCUAGGCUCUCGAGAUGGACUCAGUUCCAGAUUGCCCAGCCUCACAUAUUCCUUCAUAGCAACACAAAGGGACUGAGACAAUAUAUAAGUUAACAUCUGCCAUGUAGUGGAGGUUCCAGAGAAAAAGUGAGAGAAGCUGAGUCUGCACCCUCAACAUGGAGGAAAUAAGCUCUCUUAGGACCAAGAACAGAGGACAGAGGAAGGACUCCAGCAUGAUGGGCACCAAGGGAUUUUGGUCCUUCUGAGAAAGAGGAGAGACAGGGUCUUCCUCUUUGCCUAAGCUGGAGCGCAUUGGUGUGAUCAUCGCUCACUGCUGCCUCAAACUCCUGGGCUCAUGCGACCCUCCCACCUCAGCCUCCUGACUAGUUGGGACUACAGAAUUGGUUCCUUCCAGUGAGUUCUUGGUCUCGCUGACUUCAAGAAUGAAGCCACAGACCUGUGCGAUGAGUGUUACAGCUCUUAAAGAUGGUGUGUCCAGAGUUUGUUCCUUCAGAUGUUCAGAUGUGUCCGGAGUUUCUUCCUUCUGGUGGGUUUGUCCUCUCGCUAACUUCCAAGAAUGAAGCCGUGGACGUUCACAGUGAGUAUUAGACCUCCUCAGGUUAGUGUGGACCCAAAGAGUGAGCGGCAGCAAGAUUUAUUAAGAGCAAAAGAACAAAGCUUCCACAACACGGAAAGGGACCCAAGCUGGUUGCCUCUGCUGGCUCGGGUGGCCAGGUUUUAUUCCCUUAUUUGGCCCCGCCCACAUUCCGCUGACUGGUCCAUUUUACACAGUGCUGAUUGGUCCAUUUUACAGAGUGCUGAUUGGUGCAUUUUUACAGAGUGCUGAUUGGUGUGUUUACAGUCCUUUGGCUAGACACAGAGUGCUGAUUGGUGUGUUUUUACAGAGUGCUGAUUGGUGCAUUUACAAUCCUUUAGCUAGACUCAGAGUGCUGAUUGGUGCGUUUUUACAGAGUGCUGAUUGGUGCGUUUACAAUCCUUUAGUUAGAUGCAGAGUGCUGAUUGGUGCGUUUACAAUCCUUUAGCUAGACACAGAGCACUGAUUGGUGCGUUUACAGUCCUUUAGCCAGACAGAAAAGUUCUCUAAGUCCCCACUCUACCCAGGAAGUCCAGCUGGCUUCACUUCUCAAUAUACGCAUUCCCUAUUUAAUUUUCCCAUUUUCUUGCGAUGCUUCUGUGUUUUGGCUUUGUGGAAAUCCAUUCUGCAUGCAAUACAGAACACAAAUUUGGCAAAAACAGUACUGGUGAUCAAAAAGCAGCACUGUUGCAUAAGUGUCUUCUUAUCCUACUAUGCACAUAAUUAUUUUCAAACUAGUCAGUAACUUAGCUGGCUUCCUCAGGCAAAUGCAGCUUUAAUUUAUUAAAAGCCCUGGAAUAUCAUCAGCUGGAAGGAAUGCCAACACAGGUAAAUGAGGCAUUUUUAAACUGACGUUUUCAUUCUUGCCGUGUUGUGCAGGCAAUCUACUCAUUUGAAUUUUUCUCCAAAUGCAUUGAGCUGAAUGGAAAAAAACAAACUUUAUUGGUAACACCCUGAAAUCCACUCUUGGAAAUCUUGAUUGCACCUAAUUCCAAAUCUGUCACUAUAGUUGGGGAUUCAACUGAAAUCCAUUUUCUUCUUUAUAAAGACAAUAACAAGGUCAAGAUCUAAGCAAACACACAAAUGUGAACAACAGGGAAAGAACCCAUUGACCUACCAAGACAGGCUGCCAACAGAAUUUUGAAGGCUUGCCAAGAUGCUUUUAUGGAGGUAGAGUGAAUGAGAUUCCGUAAGUGCAAAAUAAUCCUUUUAAGACUACCCAGAAAGUAAUAUAAGUGAACUAGUUAUAUAAGAUUCAGUGAGGACUACCAAAACAUUGGGAAGAAAUGUGGAUUUUAUCAUUCAAGGAAAUAUAAUUUUAUUGUAAGAUAUAAUCUUUGUUUUUGUAGUCAAAUAGAAACAUUCAUGCCUUAAUACAACGUUUGGUAAAAAGAACUGAAGAAGACACCAUAGAAGAUUUUAACAAACAAUGAACUCAUUAGCUAAAAGAUUUGUCAUGAAAUAAUGAUUGAUUUAGUUGUUUUCUAAAAUAUUUCUAGUGCCUAUUAGAUGUUGAAGGAGACUUUGAUCAUGAAGUGUGUUCUCUGAGGAGCUGCUAUUUUUAUUUUUAUAUUUGUUUGAAGUGAAUUGUCCUGCUAAUUCUUUAACAUAAAAUAUCUUCAAUUACAUGAUUCAACAUUUUAAAAAGUGAUUAAGACAGAAGAAUAUGUGCUGGGAUUUAUUUUUGGAUCUUUGAAGUAGCAAAGAGUAGCAGAACUCCUUAAUCCAUAGAGUGGUUAUUUUGCUGUAUGAUGACUCUUGUAUUUACUCCCUGAAUUACCCUUUCCACUAAAAAGUAUUAAUGAGACAUUAGUAGGCUAUAGAAAAAAAUACUUCUGAUCUACUUAGAAAUAUUCAUGAGGUUUUCUCCUGGUGGAUUCACAUCAAAUUUUAUUUUUUAAAACCCCAAGUAUUUUUAUUUGAUGAUUAAUAAGUAAGAUGGAGGCUGGUAGGUGGAAAUCGCCAGCAGGAAAAUAAAAUGCUUUGGCUAAGCCGACAACUGCUACUGUCCUCCUCUGUACAGACUCUCCUGCUGAAGACUCACGGAGGCUUAUUUCAAGUCUUCUUUAGUUCAUUACCUGCAUGUUCAAAUGGAGCUGGUACUGUGACUCACAGCUUUCUGUCCAAGAAUGCGAUUUGUACCUCUACAAAUCUUCUACACCUUCUUCAUCUAGUAAACACUUACUCUACAGGUCUCAUCUCAAAUCUAUUACUAUAUGCAACUAUAGUACAUAAGCAAGCCAUUUAAAAAUGUUAAAGGAAGAUAUGCAUUGAUAUGGGUUGGCUGUUUUCCCACCCAAAUCUCAUCUUGAAUCGUAGCUCCCAUAAUCCACACGUGUCAUGGGAGGGACCCAAUGGAAGGUAAUUAAAUAAUCGGGGUGGGUUUUUCCCAUGCUGCUCUCAUGAUAGUAAAUAAGUCUCAUGAAAUCUGAUGGUUUCAUAAUAUAAAGGGCAGUUCCCCUGCACAUGCUCUCUUGCCUGCCACCAUGUAAGAUGGGCCUUUGCUCCUCCUUUGCCUUCUGCCAUGAUUGUGAGGCCUCUCCAGCCAUGUGGAACUGUAAGUCCAUUAAAUCUCUUUUUCUUUAUAAAUUACCCAGUCUUGGAUAUCUCUUCAUAGGAGUGUGAAAAUGGACUAAUAGAUACAUAUAGGUACACAUACAUGUAUACAUAAAGCCAUUCCAAAAGACUUUGCUUCCUGAAGUUUGUAAAUGUAAACAAAUUUAUUGUACCAUCAUUUAGGUUACUACGUUGCUCACUAACAUAGAAACAAUAUCUAAAAUGGGUACUUAUAGGGUUAUUAAAAUAUAGUAUGAAUAUGGCUACUGGAAAAAAGUCAAAGAUAUAUUUUGAGGCCACUACUCUACGUCUCUUGAUGUUCUCUUGUACACAUUUGAUAUUGCACAAAAGCCAAAAGUUUGGACUCCUUUGAUUAAAGGCAAGGUCAAGUAAUCCUGCUGGUUCUACCUCUCCUCCCAUUUCUUAAAUGAAAGGAUGUAGUCAUAUAAGGUGCUGUUUAGUAAAAUGGUGCCGUGAAUUCAGCAUGAAAUGUCUGGGCAAGUGUUUUUCAAGUUGUCACAUAUAUACUAUAUUUAUCUUCCUCCUUUUCCCUCCUCAACCUCAGUCCCCAUCACCCAGUGUUUCAUAAGGUUUUACUUUCUGUAGCUUAUACUGUAAAACCAGGAGUUCCCUUCCUCCUCUCCCAAAUAUAACCUUUUCUAAUAAUAUUAAUUGCACUUUCCCUAACUAUACAUACCUCCCUGGAGAUUUUGAACUGUAAUUCUUUCUCUCCUCCAUUUUCCUUGAGCAUUUUUCAUCUAGUGGAAUAUUCGGUGGCAAAGCUCUCAUUCUGGAAGAAGUUUAGCCAUGUAAGCAUAGAAGAAAUAAGCCAACAAUGGUAAACAUAGUUAAUGCAUGUAGUUAAGUCUUCUAAACAUGUCACUUGAAUGAUGUCACAUUUUGCUUUUUCAAACUAGGAAUCAACAAAAUGGAGGAACAUUUGAGGUUUGUUAAGAAAUUUCCCUUCUUAGCCAUAGAACUAAGAUAUUUUUAAAUAAAGAAGAUCAUAGUGGGCCAUAAAUGAUGUGCCUUUCUAGGAUCCCAAAAUGUUUUAUUGAUUGAAUUAUAUAGAGAGAUUUAAUGGAACCGUGGUUGAAAAAUGCUUUUAAAGUCUUUGAUCACUGGGAUAUCAAUGGAACAAAUGGGUUAAAACAUUUUCAGAAUUUAAUCAUUUAUCUAGGUAACAGGGUUGGGGGUAAAUGGCGGGAGAGAAGGGGAGGGCCGGGGCAUUAAUGAAUAGUACUCCAUGUAAAAAGAAGAAUUGACUAGUAACAUCUGUACUAUUUAAAUUAACAGGCUGGCAUAUAUUGUUGUGCAGGUUUUGCAUUGCCCAAUUCUUGGGGGGGGCGGCAUUCACAUUUGUAGUCAUUAUGGGUUCCUCUAUUUAUAAUGCCAAUUUUCUAGCAGAUGUUGGUUUAUUGCCUUGAGAAACUGUUAGAUUCCUCUAAUUUUUGCAAAGAUGGCUUUGGGAAGUUGAAAGAUUACCUGAUUACUAUUAGAGAAUCCUGCUACCAAUACAUACUUGUCUUGUAUAAUUUGGGCAAAAUAUAAUAUUCCUGAAUCUUAGAUUCCUUGUUUGUAAAAUGUUUAAAAUAUAUCUAAAUGUAAGAAUUGUUGUAGCAUAUAUAUGUGAGUACAUGAAUGUGGCCGUCACAGCAGCUGUAAGUGGAAGAUAUUAUAAAUAUUGUUAAAACCUUCUGAUGUUUUAUUUUAAGCUGAUAGUUUUUCUUUAUGCUGACUUUACAGUGAGUUUUAAACAUACACUUGAGUUUAUCAUUUGUAUAUAACUACUGAUAGAAAUCUGAUGAAAAACACUAAUAGUAGUUUAUAAAAGAUUUUUUUCAAUAUGAACUUUUUGUUUCCAUUGUGAGAAAUUAAAUUUCAAAAUGUAAUUAUUAAAUGUAUGCCUGACUUUCAAAUGUUUUUCUAUAUCCAGCUAAUUAAAAAUAUUUAUAACGUAGUAGUAGUUAAAUGUCAUGUUCGCCUUAUUAGAAAGAAUGCCUUCAAAUCAGUAUUAUCAUGAUUACCAUUUAUUUAACAUCUUCAGUAUGCAGGGCAUUUAUAAAAUCUGUAGAAAUUAAUUUUCUCUAAAUGCAACAAGCUUUAUGACCAGCACUCACUGUCUAUAAAAGAUGACUUGCUUGGCAGAAGAGGAAACAGUUUCUUCAGACCUUCCAGCCACAGUCAGCCCUGGUGACAUUGCAUAUCAGCUUCUAAAGGGCCUCGCACAUUCCUUGGCUUGUGAUGUCCCUUCCCCAUCAUCAAAGACAGCAACGAAACUUCAGGCUACCAUACCUGCUUCAACUGUAGGAGAAUCUUAGUUCUGGAGAGUUGACCCUCCAGGCGAAGCAUUAGGCUUUGAUACAAUUUGUCUGGUACCGGCUGUAGAUCUGGUUUGGGCCCCAGACUAUCUUCCCUGUCCUCAAGAAUCAAAACCAACUUGGAAUGACUCCUGGCCCACUCAGCACCUUUCCGGAAGCCAGAAGAAUGAAGUGCCACACAUAUCAUCAGAGAGAAUUCCAAGGAAGAGGGAAUGGUCUAUAGUGUCUCAAGCCACAUUAAUCCUUCAAGAACAGUGUUAACUUUCUCAGGCUACUGGAACUCCACUUUUUGGAACUGUUAUAUUUACUGUUGGGGAGUGACUUUGGCACCAAGGAGAACUUGGCUCAAAUGAAUGGUUUUGGAUCACACAUCUUCAUGAUUUGGGAAUGAUAUGUGUGUUUAUUUUAUGAAAAAUGUUAGUAAUGAAGCAUUUAAAAUAUAUCAAAAGGAAAAUCUCCAAGAGUUGGUGAAUCAUGCUGUUGCCAAUAAUAGGCAUGUGACAUAACUGAACAUUUCAUCAUCUUCAGUAAAUAAUCAAGAUGAGAUGACAUGCUGGGUCUGUGAUCACCAGGGAUCCAAAUGCCUUCGAUCUUGGUGCUGGC